This 77-nucleotide transfer RNA is filed under the name Armatimonadota bacterium. RNAcentral's name for it is "Armatimonadetes bacterium (activated sludge metagenome) tRNA-Pro". It matches the Rfam family "tRNA". From Rfam's summary of the family: Transfer RNA (tRNA) molecules are approximately 80 nucleotides in length. Their secondary structure includes four short double-helical elements and three loops (D, anti-codon, and T loops). The record is from RNAcentral. RNAcentral also lists the same sequence under 1 other name. Lineage: Bacteria; Bacillati; Armatimonadota.
CGGGAUGUGGCUCAGCUUGGUAGAGCGCUACGUUCGGGACGUAGAGGUCGCUGGUUCGAAUCCAGUCAUCCCGACCA